Molecule: non-coding RNA, 5188 nt
Organism: Amborella trichopoda
Lineage: Eukaryota; Viridiplantae; Streptophyta; Magnoliopsida; Amborellales; Amborellaceae
Source: RefSeq, a predicted model, not a curated record
UUUAUCAGAUAAGAUACUGACACCUGCAGAAAAACGAAAAGAAGAGUACUCCCUCUCUCUCCUCUCGAUCUCUCUAUGUAUUCUCUCUCCUUCCGUUCUCUCUGUAAAUUCUCUCUUCUCCCGCUCUGUCUCUGCAUGCUCUCCGCCCGCUCUGUCUCUAUGGCCAAGUUCUCUACAUAUUCCCUCUCCUUUCUCUGUAUAUUCUCUCGCCUUCGCAGACCCGCAGAUCUCGUACCUUGCUGCUACCAUUUGUCCCUGCUACUCAAACCCUUGGGCACACAAAGCUCUCUCCCAUUCAAGGUAUGUUAACCCUCUCUUUCUCUCUCUGGUUUUUCUAUUUUUAUCUCUCCCUUUGGUUUUCAUUCUUUUCAAGUACAAAACCCCCAACGCCCCAAAGAACAACACCCAAUCUGAGCAUUUUUGCCAUGAAUAUCCCAAAUACUGAGCAAAAUCUAGGCAAAAAUAUGGUUAUUUCUCUGUAGAAUUUUUCGCUUAGAUUUUUUUGUAGCAAUUUUUGCCUAGAUUUUUGUUUUCAUUUUUAUUUCUUGAAUAUCCUGAAUGCUAAGCAAAACCAUGUGUAUAUAUGGUUCUUUCUCUGUAGCAUUUUUAUCUCUGAUUUUUUUAUAGCAUUUUUUCCCAGAUUUUUGCUUUCAUUUUUAAAGCAUUUUUGCCCAGAUUUUGCCCAGUAUUGGAAUACUGAUGCAAUACUAUUUAUAUGUGUAAAAAUGUAAAAGUUGGUGAAAAUGCCCUCUCUUUGUCUGAUAUAUAAAACUGGACAGCGCUGAUUUAAACCAAUCUGUGUCUUCAUCUUUCAAAAGCUUAAAACUAAGAUAAGAAGUGGUGAGAUUUUAUUGGAUGGAAAUAUAUGACCAUCGCAAUGUGGUUGUAAGACUUCUGAUUCGUUCUAAUUAAUAUGUGUAGGCUAGAAAGGAAAAGCACACUACAGUGAUGAGAUUUUUACCUUUUUUACCUUAACUCCAAAAUUAUUUCAGACAACCUACUUUAUCUCUUUGGGGCAUGAGUUGAAAACAGUUCUUUAAAUUUCUGUUAGAAAGGUAAAGUAAAAGCGGCAAGAAUAUAUCAGAAUAUGAUCAUUUGAUAUAUCUUAAUAUGCUCAUAUGAAACUUUCUUAUGCUUUUGGACUCUUAUAGCAGCUUUAGGUUUGAUAAAGUAGUGUAUGUUAGCAAUUUGAUAUCGUUUAUUUGGCAAACAUAUAGUUUUUAACCUUGUGUAUAUAUUGUAGUAUGACUUACACUCAUAUUUAAGGGCCUACAUGGUUGUUGAUUAUUUGGCCUGUAGAAAUUCCAAGUUUAACUGAUGCGUAUGUAUUAUGUUUGGAGCUUGAAAUAAGUGGAGUUAAUGUUUCUUAGCCUAUGCAUUAUGUUUGGAGCUUGAAAUGAGUGGAGUCGAUGUUUAUUGCCUAGACUUUUUUAUAGCAAUUUUCUUUCGUUUUCUUGCAAACAUAUGGUUUUUAACCCUAUGUAUAUAUGGUAGCAUGACUUACACUCAUAUUUAAGGGCCUACAUGGUUCUUGAUUAUUUGACCUGCUGAAAUUCCAAGGAUAACUGAUGCCUAUAUAUUAUGUUUGGAGCUUGAAAUGAGUAGAGUCAAUGUUUCUUGCCCAUAUUUUUUUAUAGCAAUUUGCUUUCAGUUUUUUGGCAAAUAUACGGUUUGGAGUAUUCUUAUGAUGAAGGUUUAAAUACAUGUAUUUUUGUAGUUCGCAGUUUCACGUUGGGUAAGUCAAAAAAAUGAGAUGGAUCCCACGAAUUCAGUCGGUGUGGCAUCUAGCACAUAAGCAAAUGUAGGCAGUAUUGAUGAAAUCUCGGAUGGUAGUUGUGGCUCACCAAACGAGAGUCACGAAAUAGAAGAACCAUGUAUAGGAAUGAUGUUUGGAUCAGAGGAUGAUGCAUAUGAGUUCUUUAAGUUUUAUGCAUUCACCAAAGGUUUUGGUAUUUGUAGGGGGAGUACUCAUAUCAAGAAAGGUAAUCGGAUCGAUAGGGUUUAUGUUUGCUGCAAGGAAGGCUUUAAACAAGAAAAACCUAAUAAAAGUGGAAAGGUUUACCCUGAGUUAAGGUGUGAGUGCAAGGUUAGGAUGUGCAUAAGUUGUAUAGAAAAUGACGAGUGGAAAGUGACUAGCAUUUAUAUAUAUCAUAAUCAUGAUCUAGUUAGUCCAAGAAAAGCUCGUCUAAUUCGUACGCAUCGAUCAUUGUCGAGUGCUACAAAGUCAUUGAUACAUUCAAUGAGCUCGACAAUGGUUAAGCCUAGACAUACUCAUGACAUAUUCAUAGAGCAGGCUGGAGGGAUCGACAAUGUCCCUUAUACAUAAAGGGAUAUUUAAAAUGAAAUAGCAAGCGCUAGAAAAAAACUUAGAGGAGAAGAUGGCAAUUUAAUUUUGCAAUGGCUCUAUAAAAAGAACUAAUUGAACCCAUCAUUUUUUAUAGAUUGAGAUUAGAUGAAGAGAAUCACAUUCACAGUAUCUUAUGGGUUGAUUCUACAUCUGGAGUUUCCUAUCAGUGCUUCUCUGAUGUGGUUACCUUUGAUUCCACAUACAAGACAAAUGUGUUUGGUAUAUCCUUUGCACCUAUACUUGGUGCAAAUCAACAUUUCAGUACAAGUUUAUUUAGGUUUGCACUCAUAUUUGACAAAAAGAUAGAAUCAUUUAUAUGGGUAUUUGAAAACUAGUUGGAAGCCAUGGGUGGACGACAACUAGAUGUCAUUCUCAUUGAUCAAGAUCCUGCAAUUUCAUAUGCAGUGAGGCAAUUUCUUUACAAAGUAAGCAUUAUUAUUGUAGAAGAUCAAAGAAAAAAUGUGUCAUGUCUUGCAUAUGCAUCGUUCUUAUUCGUAUACCUUUAGGAAGUGUGUGGCUAACCCAACAAUAGAAGAAUUUGAAUCGGCUUAGAAAUCAAUGAUUGAUAAUUAUAACCUGGAAGACAAUGAAUGACUGAGGAGGCUUUAUGGUUGUCGCAUGCAAUGGGUUGAUGCAUACUUGGCUGACACGUUCACUGCGGGUAUGACUUCUACUCAAAGGAGUGAAGGGAUGAAUACGCUGUUCAAGAUGUAUUUGACACCCACAACAAGCUUGCGUGCAUUAUUAGAAGUUGUUGCAAAAGUCAACGAUAAGAAGGUAUGAUAAGAGAGGGAAAAUGGCUUGAAAGAUAUUCAAACUACUCCAGUCUUGCGAACAAUCACUUUUAUUGAGACAUAUGCAUAAAAAAUCUAUACUUAAAAGAUUUUAAAGAUAUUUGGGGAAGAAGUGACUAAUUGCUUUAAUUUUACGAGGGAGAUAGUUGAAGACAAUGGACAGGUUGCAACCUUUAAGGUGGCAGUCCUAGGGACCGAAACUAAAUCCUACUUAGUGAAAUUCAAUUGCCAUGACAAUUCCAUUUCUUGCACUUGUCACUUCUUUGAGAGGAUUAGCCUUCUUUGUAGGCAUGUCCUGAAGAUUUUUAUGGUUAAAGAUGUGUUUGAAAUCCCACCACAAUAUAUAAUGAAGCGUUGGACCAAGGAUAUAAAGAAGAGAGUUUUUCUUGAUGACAUUGGGGAACAAAUUCAAGUAACAUCUGAACUACCACACUCCAUUAGAUAUAAUGAGGUUAUGUAAGCAAGUCGAUCCUUUGCCGAGCGUGCUUCACAAAAUGUAGAGGGUUAUCAGUUUGUAAUGUUCAUAAUAAAAAAUGGAAUUCAUCAGUUUGAUGAAAUGUUCAUGUGCAAGCGAGGUCCACAUGAUAAUGCCGUGAUCCAUGUCAAUGACGAUGCCAAUUCUGCUAGUUGUAGUAACACACCAAGUGGAAGUAAUCAUUGUCCUAAUGUCCUUGAACCUGCACGAGCAUUGACAAAGGGACGACCGGCCACUAAAAGAAUGAAAGCUCAGUCUGAGGGAUGGAAGCCGAAAAAAAGGAAAUGCGCAGUAUGCAAUGGAAGUGGACAUGACAAAAGGAAUUGCCUGUCGUUUGUUUCUGAUAGGUACAACUUCAUUCAUUUACAUUAUUUUAUUUGCAAUUGUAUUAUCCUCAUUAUUGUUGAUGUAUUUGAUUUACACUUGUAUUAGCUUUAAUUUAAUUGCUAACAUUCCUCUUACAACGCUAAGGACAAAACACAUCGUACACUUCGGAUCAAUAAGAAGUGAGUUGAUGGUAAGAUUCACUCCCAUCAAAUCCAUCCAUACAGGAGUGGUAACUAGUGAAGUGUUGGAGUUGUUGUGUUAACAUGUCGUAUGCUUAUUUGAAUUUUUUUUUUUUAAAGAACCGUCUAAUGGGAUUAGUAUCCAUCAAAGUAUAUUUAAAAAUUGAAUUUGACUUGCAGCUUGGUUGAUUUAAAGUUUGACUUAGGAUCUGCUUUUGUCAUCUUAGCAUCUGCUAUUCAUAAAUCGAGAAGAUAUGAAUUCCUUGAAGAUCUUGUGCCGCAGAAAGUGAAAGCAAGCUGCAGAUGCUUUAAUUCCUUCUCUUUCUAUGCAAUGUGUUGUGUGCUGAAGAUUUUUUUGUUGCGUGUGUGUACUUAUUUUUCAUAUAUGGAUGGGAAUGAAUUCUAGAAUGUGUAUGGCUUUUCCUUACUUGCUUUCCCUACUGAGGAUUGCUAGUGGUUCUUGCUGCUAGUCCAUGUAGAACAUAUUCUGUCUCUCUCUCUCUCUCUCUCUUUAAUGUCUUGGUGGUUCCUGAUAUGGAGCUCUUUGCAUUUGGAUUUCUUAAGCAUGAUAGUUUCAUAAGUUUAAUAGGGAAGUAGUUGGUAUACAUCAAAACCAUUUAUUAGUUGGUGAACCUUCUAACGAGUUCUACACCUGAGAAUUUCAUGAAUCCUGUAACAAGAGAGAAGAACUAUAAUGCUUUGGACUACAAGGAGGUGGCUUGCAUUUGUGAGAAGUUCAAGGAUUCACCAGACAGGCUGUUGGGGAGCUUGGCAAGCCAGAAUUCGAAGCAAACUUCACAAAAGGGGUCAAUGGAUGCGUUGAAGUAAUUGAAGGACCUCAGUUGAUGAAUUUGCCAGGAGGAAGGAUGGCCUUAGAGGAUCCUUAAAGUUCAUUUAUUUUUAUUUACUUUUAUACCCUUUUGAAAUAGAUAUGUUUUUUGUAUGUAGGAAUUUUUUGCAUUGGACUGCCAUUGUUAUUUGUUUAUUUAUGGGAAAUCUGGAUGCUUUCCUGAGUAGUGUUGACCAUGUUUUGACAUGUUAAUUCAGUGGUGCAAUUGGACGUGUA